CUUGGAACUCCACCUCAUAUUAGGCUCCCUCUGGCUCUUGAAGCAUACAACAAGGGAAGAGAGUUUUCGUGAUGAAUUUAUUUGCGAUGAAAAAAAUGUUCAUUGUAAAUCAACGAUGAAUCCAAAUUUUUAUCGAUAAUUAAAAAAUAUUUACGAUGAUUCUAAAUUUUUGUGACAAAUAAAAAAUAUUAACGAUAAAAAUAAUAAUUUUAUCAUAAUAAAGAA
This 225-nucleotide long non-coding RNA is filed under the name Elaeis guineensis (African oil palm). RNAcentral describes it as "long non-coding RNA (EGUI_LNC004779)". The record is from RNAcentral. Lineage: Eukaryota; Viridiplantae; Streptophyta; Magnoliopsida; Arecales; Arecaceae.